This 484-nucleotide ribosomal RNA is filed under the name uncultured bacterium. RNAcentral's name for it is "partial 16S ribosomal RNA". It matches the Rfam family "Bacterial small subunit ribosomal RNA", at positions 30 to 507 of the family's 1533-position model. The record is from RNAcentral.
AUUGAACGCUGGCGGCAGGCCUAACACAUGCAAGUCGAGCGGAUGAAGGGAGCUUGCUCCUGGAUUCAGCGGCGGACGGGUGAGUAAUGCCUAGGAAUCUGCCUGGUAGUGGGGGAUAACGUCCGGAAACGGGCGCUAAUACCGCAUACGUCCUGAGGGAGAAAGUGGGGGAUCUUCGGACCUCACGCUAUCAGAUGAGCCUAGGUCGGAUUAGCUAGUUGGUGGGGUAAAGGCCUACCAAGGCGACGUUCCGUAACUGGUCUGAGAGGAUGAUCAGUCACACUGGAACUGAGACACGGUCCAGACUCCUACGGGAGGCAGCAGUGGGGAAUAUUGGACAAUGGGCGAAAGCCUGAUCCAGCCACGCCGCGUGUGUGAAGAAGGUCUUCGGAUUGUAAAGCACUUUAAGUUGGGAGGAAGGGCAGUAAGUUAAUACCUUGCUGUUUUGACGUUACCAACAGAAUAAGCACCGGCUAACUUCGUG